GAUGAACGCUAGCUACAGGCUUAACACAUGCAAGUCGAGGGGUAGCAGGGUAGCAAUACCGCUGACGACCGGCGCACGGGUGAGUAACACGUAUCCAACCUUCCCAUAACUCGGGGUUAGCCUUUCGAAAGAAAGAUUAAUACCCGAUAGUACUUUUUCAAGGCAUCUUGAGAAAGUUAAAGAUUUAUUGGUUAUGGAUGGGGAUGCGUUCCAUUAGAUAGUUGGUGAGGUAACGGCUCACCAAGUCUUCGAUGGAUAGGGGUUCUGAGAGGGAAGUCCCCCACAUUGGUAGUGAAAAACGGACCAAACUCCUAAGCGAUGCAGCAUUAAAGAAUAUUGGUCAACGGGCGAGAGCCUGAAACAGCCAAGUAGCGUGAAGGAUGAAGGUCCUAUGGAUUGUAAACUUCUUUUAUAGUAGAAUAAAGUGAUCCACGUGUGGAUUUUUGUAUGUAUACUAUGAAUAAGGAUCGGCUAACUCCGUGCCAGCAGCCGCAGUAA
Molecule: ribosomal RNA, 498 nt
Filed under: uncultured bacterium
Lineage: Bacteria
Description: partial 16S ribosomal RNA
Rfam family: Bacterial small subunit ribosomal RNA
Source: RNAcentral